RNAcentral lists this ribosomal RNA (777 nucleotides) under uncultured Neocallimastigales. RNAcentral's name for it is "partial large subunit ribosomal RNA". It matches the Rfam family "Eukaryotic large subunit ribosomal RNA", at positions 18 to 626 of the family's 3401-position model. Lineage: Eukaryota; Fungi; Neocallimastigomycota; Neocallimastigomycetes; Neocallimastigales. The record is from RNAcentral.
UCAGACGAUGCGUCAUGCAUAUCAAUAAGCGGAGGAAAAGAAACUAACAAGGACUCCCUUAGUAACGGGCGAGUGAAGCGGGAAGAGCUCAAAUUUGAAAUCUUCAAGGUUUGACCUUGACGAAUUGUAGUUUAAAGAAGUGUUUUCGGUUAGAGAGUUUGGUAAAAGUUCUUUGGAAUAGGACAUCAUAGAGGGUGAGAAUCCCGUAUUUGACCUAUUAUUUCCAGCUUUGUGAUACACUUUCAAAGAGUCGGAUUGUUUGGGAAUGCAGUCCAAAAUGGGUGGUAAAUUUCAUCUAAAGCUAAAUAUUGGCGAGAGACCGAUAGCGAACAAGUACCGUGAGGGAAAGAUGAAAAGAACUUUGAAAAGAGAGUUAAACAGUACGUGAAAUUGUCAAAAGGGAAGCGUUUGACACCAGUGUUGUUUUCUCGAAAAUCAAUUAAAAAGAGUUGGAUUUUGUGUUGUAUUGACCUUAACAGCUUGCUUCACUCUUUUCCUGCUUUUUUUAAUGCACUUUUCGUUUAACAAGUCAAUAUCAGUUUCUUUUGUUGUAAAAGGGUCAUUGGAAGGUGGCUUUCUCUUCGGAGAAAGUGUUUAUAGCCUUUGAUCUCUGCAAUCGGAGAGACUGAGGUCUGCAGCGUAGAUCCUUCGGGGUUAGAUACAUUUGUGCUAAGCUACAGCUUUUCAUAGACAACUUGUUGACUAUGUUUAGUCUUGUAACUUACCCGCUUAUGCUAUUUUACCUACGCUUAGGAUGUUGAUAUGCAUGACUGAUAU